UACGGAGGGUGCAAGCGUUAUUCGGAUUUACUGGGCUUAAAGGGUGCGUAGGUGGGUCUGUAAGUCAGUGGUGAAAUCUUCGAGCUUAACUCGGAAACUGCCAUUGAUACUGCUUAGCUUGAAUCACGUCGAGGUGGAUGGAAUAAUACAUGUAGCGGUGAAAUGCUUAGAUAUGUAUUAGAACACCGAUUGCGAAGGCAGUUCACUGGGCGUGUAUUGACACUGAGGCUCGAAAGCGUGGGGAUCAAACAGG
RNAcentral lists this ribosomal RNA (253 nucleotides) under uncultured bacterium. Its description in RNAcentral is "partial 16S ribosomal RNA". It matches the Rfam family "Bacterial small subunit ribosomal RNA", at positions 524 to 776 of the family's 1533-position model. The record is from RNAcentral.